UGCGCGAGUGGCGGAACUGGUAGACGCCCUGGAUUUAGGUUCCAGUGUCCUUCGGGACGUGGGGGUUCGAGUCCCCCCUUGCGCACCC
This 88-nucleotide transfer RNA is filed under the name Mycobacterium attenuatum. Its description in RNAcentral is "Mycobacterium sp. MK41 tRNA-Leu". It matches the Rfam family "tRNA". From Rfam's summary of the family: Transfer RNA (tRNA) molecules are approximately 80 nucleotides in length. Their secondary structure includes four short double-helical elements and three loops (D, anti-codon, and T loops). The record is from RNAcentral. Lineage: Bacteria; Bacillati; Actinomycetota; Actinomycetes; Mycobacteriales; Mycobacteriaceae.